GAAUAAGAGUGGUGAACUCCUGUGUUUCUCUCUUAUGAGAGAGAACUAGUUUUGAAUAAAAGGCGUGCCUUUCUUUUCAAAGAGGGAGCUUUCCCAUAUUUUGAAAUUCCUAAGAAAGUUAUUGUGCAUUUAUUUGAGAUAAAUCAUCAAGUGUUCCAUAUUUACUUGGUGAUUUAUCAAACACUUUCUUCAUUCAUAUUGCAUUCAUAUGCAUGUCAGUGACUUAUAUGGUUGAGGGCACCAAGAUCGUGGUGGCGGUUUUCCUCCAGCGACCUUGAAGCAAUCGUGACCAGUAUUGCGUUCAACAUAAGGAGUGUCGAAGAUCAUCUGACAGAAGUUGAGUUACGAAGAAGUCGGUAAAGAUUAUCUAGAAUGAGUCUAGGAUAAGUGUGUGAGUACUUCUUGUAAUCAUCGUUCAAUAGUGGAUUUGUGUUGGACUGAGGAGUCUCGUGGAUUUUUCCUAGAGGUGGGGUUUUACCACGUAAAAUAAUUCUCUGCGUAUUCUUUUAUUUUUAUGCUCAACACAUUCCAGGAUUGAUAAGCCAUAUCAAUCCUGCUACCGAAGUUUAAUUUUUGUUUAUUUAUUAUAAUAUUUAAUUGGCCUAUUCACCUCCCCUCUAGGCAUUUUAAGUCAUCCUACAUGUAUUAUCAGAGAAGAUGAAAAGAUGCAUGGGUGGUAGUAGUAGUAGUAGUGGUAGUAGUAGGGGAGAGAGAGAGAGAGAGAGAGAGAGAGAGAGAGAGAGAGAGAGAGAAUAUGAG
RNAcentral lists this long non-coding RNA (759 nucleotides) under Prunus persica (peach). RNAcentral describes it as "long non-coding RNA (PPER_LNC004502)". The record is from RNAcentral. Lineage: Eukaryota; Viridiplantae; Streptophyta; Magnoliopsida; Rosales; Rosaceae.